Molecule: long non-coding RNA, 2226 nt
Organism: Salarias fasciatus (jewelled blenny)
Lineage: Eukaryota; Metazoa; Chordata; Actinopteri; Blenniiformes; Blenniidae
Exons: 2
Source: RefSeq, a predicted model, not a curated record
UGCAACCACAUUUUGAUAAUGUUUUAUUAUGAAUGUUAUAACCAAAUGUUAUGGUGUCAAAGUAUUAUUAUUUAUAGUUUAAAAAUCUAGUGUGAUGAAACACAAGUGUUUUAUGUUUAUAACAGAUGUUCCUGUGAAGUUGUGGGUUAGUGAUUGAGAGAUGGAAUGCGGAACCUUUGCCGCUGUGCCCGCCCCGAUGCGCUCUGGGGACGGACUUCCGGUCUCAGCCUCAGACGUGUUUUGGGAACGACACGAGUGCAUCUGUGGUUCUUUCGCUCAUUCUCUUUCUUCAUUUCACAGGUCAGUCACUAAUUAAACUUACUGUAAAUGGAAACCUUAAGCUUCAUAUGACUUCUUCAAGUAAUGGAAAGCCAUUUUAUGUUGUUUGAUGGCCGUUUGAUAUGACUUUUCACGUGGGUUUAUUCACCUUAUUCAGGAAGUGCUGCUGGACGGCGCCAUUUUUGAGAGCAACUUCCGGUUGGCCGUCUUUGCGCUGCAACAACAUUGAGUCCUCUCGCUACUUUCACUACUUUUAACUGUUCUUUUUGGCGAUUUGAACAUGUUUGGCAUCAGUUGCGCUGUCCGUGGGAGCCACAACAACUGGGGAAAGAUGAAGCUCUCUCUCUCUCGGUAUUGUUUGGAGCAUGGAAAGGCUCGAUCUGAAUGCUGCCGACCAGCUUUUAAACUCCACCCGCCUCGUCUGAAGAAGAGGACCUCCGCUGCUGGCUCAAGCCACUCCAUUUAAAAAAGCCACCAAAGCGUCCGGAUGUGUUCUCCUGUCACUUUGUGGACCUGCAUCCCUCACCACUUCAUCCCUCUCCAGAGAAACGGCCGGGCUACAAGGCUGAGUUAAAGAAGCCACGACGGAAGCUGGAGAGACACGCAGAUGCAUCAACCAGUGCUGGGAGUGAAAGUCCUGCAGCCAGACGGCGAGCUCCAGGCUGAACCUUCUGCCUCCUGCCUUCCUCUGUCAGACCAGGACCGUGCUGGAAGUCCUGUUCUCCACCAGCCGUUCCAGGGUCAUCCAGCGACAGUGUUCAGCAGCAUCCGACUGCAUCCAACACUCUGACGCUCUGACCAUCUCUGCCUCGUCUACACUGCUCUCCCUCUGGAGAAAGAUUGUCGUGUUUGAGCUGCAGCAUUUUAUUUAACGAUCAUGAUGCUGCACCGCCUGCUUCACCGUCUUCAGAGCGACUGUGGUUUGAAUUCUGUGUUUGGAUUGUCUGACAAACUGUCCACAACCUUUUGACCCAAAAAGGGCAGUUUUGAUUUCACUAGUUCACAAAGUAGUUCCUAGAUUUCUCGAUAGUCCAGUUGAUGUGUUUUUUAGUAAGCUGUAUUCUCUUUUGCAAACGUCUGUUUUUCACUAGGUUGUUCUCGCCCCUAGUUUAAUUUCACACAGGCUUUUCUAAUUGUCACAGUAUCAAAAGUUAAUCCAGAGUGUCUGUGAUGAUCCUGGAGCUGAUCAUUGGUUCAGUCUUUUUCUUUCUGCCUCUUUUUGAUCCAUUUGGACGGUAAUCUUCAGUUUUCUUCCAUUUUUUUCUCUGGUUUUGCUUCCCAUUUUAUAUGACUGGAGUUUAUUUUAGCUGAGCAGUUCAUCAUUUUCUGCGCUUUUUUGUGUUUUUCCUUCACAAAUCUUCAUUUGAAUUUCAUUAUGCUUAGAAUGUUGGGCACUGCAAUUUUUUUGCUCAGAUUUUCAGGAUGAUUGAUAAAAUUUUAUAUGACCUGAUCAGUGACAGUACUUAUGGACUGCCACAUGCUUUUUUGUUUACCUUCUAUUUAAAGUAAAAAAAAUAAACCAAUACUUUAAUCAGAUAUGCAAAGGUGGUACAAUUCAGUUAAAUGUUUCAGGCAGUAGUAUGUAAUACACAUAAAUUACAUUUUUAUGGAGUACCUAGGAAAAAUAUGACACAUUACAAUUUUGAAGUAACUCGCCCAACACUGCAGCAUCAUAAUUUGGCACACCAGAUUUAGAUUGUGGAUUGUGUUCAGCCACACUUUCUUUAUUUAGCAGUAACUCAUCAACUCAAACACACAUUAUAAGACAUUCCAAUUUACACUGUGUGAUUUUAAAGGAAGGAACAUAAUUUUAUUUGUCAUGUAGAACUUUUGUUAACAAAAUGUUUAUUCUGUUAUGCUGUGUAUGACCUUUGAUAUUUAAACUGUACCAUCUGUUUAUUGACUGUUCAAGAAUUGUAAUUUCAGUAAAAUAUCACUGCUUUCUGA